UAGGGAAUUUUCGGCAAUGGGCGCAAGCCUGACCGAGCAACGCCGCGUGAGUGAAGAAGGCCUUCGGGUUGUAAAGCUCUGUUGUAAGGGAAGAAUGGCCAAGAGAGGGAAUGCUCUUGGAGUGACGGUACCUUACCAGAAAGCCACGGCUAACUACGUGCCAGCAGCCGCGGUAAUACGUAGGUGGCAAGCGUUAUCCGGAAUUAUUGGGCGUAAAGGGAGCGUAGGCGGUUUGAUAAGUCUGAGGUGAAAGUUCGGGGCUCAACUCCGGAUUGCCUUAGAAACUGUCAGACUAGAGUGCAGGAGAGGGCAAUGGAAUUCCAUGUGUAGCGGUAAAAUGCGUAGAUAUAUGGAGGAACACCAGUGGCGAAGGCGGUUGCCUGGCCUGUAACUGACGCUGAGGCUCGAAAGCGUGGGGAGCAAAUAGG
This 428-nucleotide ribosomal RNA is filed under the name uncultured bacterium. RNAcentral's name for it is "bacterial SSU rRNA". It matches the Rfam family "Bacterial small subunit ribosomal RNA", at positions 355 to 776 of the family's 1533-position model. The record is from RNAcentral. RNAcentral also lists the same sequence under 1 other name.